This 967-nucleotide ribosomal RNA is filed under the name uncultured bacterium. RNAcentral describes it as "bacterial SSU rRNA". It matches the Rfam family "Bacterial small subunit ribosomal RNA", at positions 8 to 971 of the family's 1533-position model. The record is from RNAcentral.
AGAGUUUGAUCCUGGCUCAGGAUGAACGCUAGCUACAGGCUUAACACAUGCAAGUCGAGGGGCAGCAGGACGGUAGCUUGCUACUGUCGCUGGCGACCGGCGCACGGGUGAGUAACGCGUAUCCAACCUUCCCCUGAGUAGGGAAUAGCCCGGCGAAAGUCGGAUUAAUGCCCUAUGUUGUCCGACGAUAGCAUUUGAAUUGGAUGAAAGAUUUAUCGCUCAGGGAUGGGGAUGCGUCUGAUUAGGUUGCAGGCGGGGUAACGGCCCACCUGGCCGACGAUCAGUAGGGGUUCUGAGAGGAAGGUCCCCCACAUUGGAACUGAGACACGGUCCAAACUCCUACGGGAGGCAGCAGUGAGGAAUAUUGGUCAAUGGGCGAGAGCCUGAACCAGCCAAGUAGCGUGCAGGAUGACGGCCCUAUGGGUUGUAAACUGCUUUUGGAGGGGAAUAAAGUGGCGUACGUGUACGCCUUUGUAUGUACCCUCAGAAUAAGGACCGGCUAAUUCCGUGCCAGCAGCCGCGGUAAUACGGAAGGUCCGGGCGUUAUCCGGAUUUAUUGGGUUUAAAGGGAGCGCAGGCCGCCGAUUAAGCGUGACGUGAAAUGUCCCGGCUCAACCGGGGAGUUGCGUCGCGAACUGGUUGGCUUGAGUGCGGACGAGGUAUGCGGAAUUCGUGGUGUAGCGGUGAAAUGCUUAGAUAUCACGAAGAACCCCGAUUGCGAAGGCAGCGUACCAGGCCGUAACUGACGCUAAUGCUCGAAGGUGCGGGUAUCGAACAGGAUUAGAUACCCUGGUAGUCCGCACGGUAAACGAUGGAUGCCCCGCUGUUGCCAUAUAGUGUAAGCGGCCAAGCGAAAGCGUUAAGCAUCCCACCUGGGGAGUACGCCGGCCACGGUGAAACUCAAAGGAAUGGACGGGGGCCCCCCAACCGGAGGAACUGUGGUUUAAUUCGAGAUACCCCAGGACCU